This 216-nucleotide ribosomal RNA is filed under the name Glomeromycotina sp. RNAcentral's name for it is "partial small subunit ribosomal RNA". The stretch from base 40 to 216 matches the Rfam family "Eukaryotic small subunit ribosomal RNA", at positions 686 to 864 of the family's 1831-position model. The record is from RNAcentral. Lineage: Eukaryota; Fungi; Glomeromycota.
GGGUCAGUAGGUUGGUCGUGCCACCGGUACGUACUGGUCUCACUGAUUCCUCCUUCCUGAAGAACCGUAAUGCCAUUAAUUUGGUGCUGCGGGGAAACAGGACUGUUACUUUGAAAGAAUUAGAGUGUUUAAAGCAAGCUAACGCUUGAAUACAUUAGCAUGGAAUAAUGAAAUAGGACGAUCGAUCCUAUUUUGUUGGUUUCUAGGAUUGACGUA